AGUGGGGAAUAUUGCACAAUGGGCGCAAGCCUGAUGCAGCGACGCCGCGUGAAGGAUGAAGGUUUUCGGAUCGUAAACUUCUAUCAGCAGGGAAGAAACCAAUGACGGUACCUGACUAAGAAGCCCCGGCUAACUACGUGCCAGCAGCCGCGGUAAUACGUAGGGGGCAAGCGUUAUCCGGAUUUACUGGGUGUAAAGGGUGCGUAGGUGGCAUGGCAAGUCAGAUGUGAAAACUCGGGGCUCAACUUCGAGAUUGCAUCUGAAACUGCUAAGCUAGAGUGCAGGAGAGGAAAGCGGAAUUCCGAGUGUAGCGGUGAAAUGCGUAGAGAUUCGGAGGAACACCAGUAGCGAAGGCGGCUUUCUGGACUGUAACUGACACUGAGGCACGAAAGCGUGGGGAGCGAA
Molecule: ribosomal RNA, 405 nt
Filed under: uncultured Candidatus Epulonipiscium sp.
Lineage: Bacteria; Bacillati; Bacillota; Clostridia; Lachnospirales; Lachnospiraceae
Description: bacterial SSU rRNA
Rfam family: Bacterial small subunit ribosomal RNA
Source: RNAcentral